UGUCCGUGCCCGGGAUCCGAACUGGUGAAACCCUGGGCCGCUAAAGCGGAACGCGUGAACUUAAACCACUCGGCCACAGGGCUGGCCCCUUAAUUUUGUUUUUUAAUGAUGUAAAUGUUUUACAUGAUUCCGUUUACAUCCUACAUGACCCCACAUCUCCUCUCCUAGGUGUUUCCCCCGCAGAAAGGUGUACACGUGUGCAUCAAAAGAAUAGAAAUUCCACGAGGAAUUGUGUGUUUUGUUCACUGCUGUCUUCCCUGAGCGUAGAAUUGUGCCUCGCACAUAGCAGCUCAGUAAAUAUUUGAUGAAUGAAUGAACGAACUCUAAUACAGCAAACAGACAAAGUACAAGAACAGCCUCCUCAGGGCAGUUUACGUCUUCAGUGUUUGGCCUGGACAUUUAUUUGAGGAACCCCUGAAGUGCUUCUGCCCAGCCAAGAGGGUUCCUCGGAGAAGAGUUUCAAAAUGACUGCUGAAGGCAAAUGGGAGCGGCUGAAAGCUUUUGAAGGAUUUAGCUCUUGGCUCACUGUCACUCUCUCGAACACUACUCCUGUCACAGUCCCUGGUGAGUUUGAUAUCCAUGCAGAUACCUCCAGACCCUUGGCCUCCUCUCCUUCAGUGUCUUGUCCUCCACCACCCUGCAGCCACUCGCUCCCUUGCCCUUCCUUUGACCGUGGCAUUAGCCCAUUCUCUGCUCUCUGUGCAGCUCCCUUCUCCUAGUACCCCAACACUGACUACAUUUCCACCCCACCAGGACCGGCAAUCCACUGAACCUGUACCUUUUCCCUUUUCUCUCCGCCACCCCUCCUUGUCUCCUCUUCCCUCCUUACUCAGCUUAAAUUAUAUCAACCACUCACUUGUACACACCUUGCCCUUUCUUGUACUUGCUGGGAGAAAGCAUAACCCUUGUAAAUCCAGUUCUCCACCUGCUCAACAUAUCUACACCUCUGGCAGCUGAAUGAAGCUGGAGGAAGCCGACCGGCCUCACUUCAGGUUCAUGACCACUGACUUCGAGUGGGCCCUCAGUGCUGCCCCACAACCCUACCUUUCUUUAGUCUAGCCACCCUCCCAUUCUCCGAGAACAGUGCUUCUUAAGCUUGAAUGUGCACACACUUCACCUGGGCAUCCUUUUAGACCACAGACUCUGAUUCUGUAUUUCUGAUAACUUCCCAGGUGAUGUGCAUGCUGCUGGACUGUGGACCCGCACUUUCAGUAGCAAAGGCCUGGACCAGGGGUUGGCAAACUUCUUCUGAUAGUAAAUAUUUUAGUCUUUGCAGGUGACAUAUGGUGUCUGUUGCAACUGCUCAACUCUGCCAUUGCAGCUAGACAAUACAUAAAUGAAUGGGUAUGGCAGGGUUCCAAUAAAAUUGUAGUUAUGGAAGCUGAAAUUUGAAUUUCAUAGAAUUUUCUUGUGUCACAAAAUAUUAUUCUUCUUUUGAUUUUUUCAACCAUUUAAAAAUACAAAAACAAUUCUUAGUUGGCAGGCUGUACACAAAUAGGCAGCGGCCCGGUUUGGUCCACAGUUUGUCAACCCUUGGCCUAGACAACUGUUUCAAACCUCUUCUGUCCUCAGAUCUGCAGCCCUUCCUCCUCCGUUCUCUCAGAUGAUGGCCUUGCUUCCUAGUCACCGAGAAAAUUUAAGCAAUCACAGGAGAUCUUCCAUGACUCACUUACCACGUCCCAGCUCCCAGCACCUGCACUCGAAUCCUCUGCCUUCAUCCUGUUCCUGCGGAUGAAGUAUUUGCGCUGUGGCCAGCCUUUCUGCUUGCUUGUGCCCUCAAUCCUAACCCCUGUCACCUAGUCAAGAACCUUGCUCUGGCAGUUCUGUCCUUUCUGUCCCUGCUUUUCACUGGAUUGUUCCCAACAAUGUACAAAUAAAUAGGUGGGCAUUUCUCCCCUUUUAAAAGCCUGCUCUUUAUCCCAACUCCCUUUCCACUGCUACUCCGUUCCCUCCUUCCUUUUACAACAAAGCUGUGCAAGAUUUGUCGAGAUUUCUGUUUCCAAUUUCUCUCCUCUCAUUCUUUUUUUU
Molecule: long non-coding RNA, 2028 nt
Organism: Equus quagga
Lineage: Eukaryota; Metazoa; Chordata; Mammalia; Perissodactyla; Equidae
Exons: 3
Source: RefSeq, a predicted model, not a curated record